This 171-nucleotide ribosomal RNA is filed under the name uncultured Fusobacterium sp. Its description in RNAcentral is "partial 16S ribosomal RNA". It matches the Rfam family "Bacterial small subunit ribosomal RNA", at positions 340 to 524 of the family's 1533-position model. Lineage: Bacteria; Fusobacteriati; Fusobacteriota; Fusobacteriia; Fusobacteriales; Fusobacteriaceae. The record is from RNAcentral.
UACGGGAGGCAGCAGUGGGGAAUAUUGGACAAUGGACCAAGAGUCUGAUCCAGCAAUUCUGUGUGCACGAUGAAGUUUUUCGGAAUGUAAAGUGCUUUCAGUUGGGAAGAAAAAAAUGACGGUACCAACAGAAGAAGUGACGGCUAAAUACGUGCCAGCAGCCGCGGUAAU